Molecule: long non-coding RNA, 445 nt
Filed under: Bos mutus (wild yak)
Lineage: Eukaryota; Metazoa; Chordata; Mammalia; Artiodactyla; Bovidae
Description: lncRNA (ENSBMUG00000020747.1)
Source: RNAcentral
GCUCUGGCCCCCGCGGGUCGCUGACUUCCUCCGGCCUCCGCCCCUAGCCGCUACCGCCCCCUGGCAGCCGUCUCCAUGGUGCACACCAGACGCCGGAAGCCACCCGGCGGCGGUGGAGGGAGGCAGGGACCCGGCGCAUGAGGCAAGUUACAGUUCUCAGAAUCCAAGUGGAAUCUAACGCUAUGAAACAAUGCCAAGAGAAAAGCAAGGAAAACGAAAAACUAAAGGAGCACCCCAGUCCAUUGUUUCCAUUCUUCAAAAGUUCCUGAAAACAUACGAGAAGCGUUGUGUACAGACUCAGACGUCUGUGUGUCCAGCCAUCAAAAGGGACUUGAAAGCCAGCAUCAACCAUGAACGGAUUCUCAGGAAGAACCUCCCUCGCCAGCACUCCCGACCCUCCAAAAGAAUGUCUCCUUGUCUUGACAUCUGAUGCGUCCAAGCCAUC